Long non-coding RNA from Ruditapes philippinarum (Manila clam), 1551 nucleotides. RefSeq lists it as uncharacterized. The transcript is spliced from 5 exons. The record is from RefSeq and is a predicted model, not a curated record. NCBI's taxonomy places the organism in Eukaryota, Metazoa, Mollusca, Bivalvia, Venerida, Veneridae.
UCUGACAGAACGAUUUUCAGCAAAAACAUCCGGAAAAUGGCCCGCCAGCCGAUGUUUUCAACUAGACGAGUAUGAAAGGGAAUACAGUGUUAGAUAUCAUCGAGGAUAUGUGACCAAAGGGUUUCAGAAGUCUUGAGAGAUGUAUGCAGAUCAAACCCAUCAAGUAAGCCAACACCAUGUCUACAAGGUCAUACCUCUAGAACCUCUGACACCUCUACAGCUGAGGACAAAUCUUAAAGUGGACAGAGGGAUAGUAUGAAUGCUUCAGUGAAAUUAAGGAGCUCAGGUUCUAACAAGUGUAGUAGAGCAGUGCAACACAGAUGUACUCCGAUGUGCAAUUUUACAAGUUUUUCCAGACAGUGAUUACAGCGAGGCUUGAAGACUACUGUACACAAUUUCUUAACAAAUCCAAAAACAAAGCCGCGUAACAUUCAACUAAGUGAUUCAAAGAAAACCAAACUACAAACAAGAAAGGGUCGAUUGAAUGGAGUGACAUUUUUACCCUGAAGCGUCCUAUUAAGAUUAAGAGAAUCUAGUCGUUUGUGCCACGGCACAAAAAUUAUCAGACACAUAAGUAACAUUCAAGUAGUAGUAUGCAUUUACAUGGAAGAUAUGACAUAAUUGUAUUUUCAUAUUGAAUUUAUCAUAUAAGUUGAAUAAAGAAAAAUAAAAUGUGAGGCUCUGUCGAGCAUUUUAAAAGUUUUAAUUAAUGCAAUUUGGAAAGUCACAAAUGUAAUAUUCUUUUAUCACAUGUUAGAUUUUCCUGUCAAAACAUUGAAAAUUAUUCUUUCUUUUACUAUUUUAACAAGCCAACUUAAUCAACACUUCCAAUACUUUAAACGACAUUGACGUCAAAUCUUUAUUACACUAGUGUAUAAUAAUUUUUUUGUAAUGACUUUAUUAGAAUCCUGUGAUGUCAAACAUAUGAUAAUGUUCUAUUAGCAUUAAUUGUAGACUUGUUAAACUUUUUUCUUAACAAACUCUAUGAAAUACUGGUUGAACCCUAAUAGUGCUGGAAACAAACGUUUCAGGCCAUGUUGACCAGUGUAGACCAGAUCUGCAGGCACCCUUGCCAGUUGAUUGAACCACACACUUAAUUGCCAACAUGGUUGAAAGGGUCUUAUUGUCCAAGCUGCAAAGAGUGCAUACCCAUAUAAACUAGCUGGCACAGUUGUGUGUCAGUUGAUAUCAGUCUGUGCUGGUUGCAAAUUCAAAUCCAAUACUUUCAUAGAAUUAUAUGUUUUUAUUUAAUGUUUAUAGCAUCAAUAAAUUGAUAAUCUGAAAAAAUAGUGCAAGUCAGGUUUUCAAGUAUAAUCCUAAUUAACUUUUAGAACAUUUUGCAUAAAGUAAGGUGAUAUCUCUAAGUUGUCAAAGAAAAGCUUUUGCAGCUCUUUAUAAUUAAACAUGGCAUGGCACUUGUAUCUAUAGCUUUGUCCACCAUACAAGUACUCAAAUUUUGUGACAUUUUUUAAUAUAUUUUUCCCCAUAUUUCAAUUACAGUAAUUUGUUACAUUUCUCUUUCCUCUAUCAUUCUUAGUUUUUGUAUUUAAU